UGCCCAGCAACUCCUAUUCCAACCUCCUCGCGGUACUGGCCGGGGUACGAGAAACUUUAGGGAAGA
RNAcentral lists this ribozyme (66 nucleotides) under Aedes aegypti (yellow fever mosquito). Its description in RNAcentral is "drz-agam-1 ribozyme". It matches the Rfam family "drz-agam-1 ribozyme". The record is from Rfam by way of RNAcentral. Lineage: Eukaryota; Metazoa; Arthropoda; Insecta; Diptera; Culicidae.